RNAcentral lists this ribosomal RNA (253 nucleotides) under uncultured bacterium. Its description in RNAcentral is "partial 16S ribosomal RNA". It matches the Rfam family "Bacterial small subunit ribosomal RNA", at positions 524 to 776 of the family's 1533-position model. The record is from RNAcentral.
UACGAAGGGGGCUAGCGUUGCUCGGAAUUACUGGGCGUAAAGCGCACGUAGGCGGCUUUCUAAGUCGGGGGUGAAAUCCUGGAGCUCAACUCCAGAACUGCCUUUGAUACUGGGAGACUUGAGUCCGGGAGAGGUGAGUGGAACUGCGAGUGUAGAGGUGAAAUUCGUAGAUAUUCGCAAGAACACCAGUGGCGAAGGCGGCGCAGUGGCCCGGUACUGACGCUGAGGUGCGAAAGCGUGGGGAGCAAACAGG